Saitozyma podzolica is the source of this 129-nucleotide non-coding RNA. NCBI's taxonomy places the organism in Eukaryota, Fungi, Basidiomycota, Tremellomycetes, Tremellales, Trimorphomycetaceae. The record is from the annotation of a GenBank genome assembly.
GGUCGCGUGGCGAAGUGGUUUAUCGCGCUGGUCUUACACGGCAGAUUCCUCCGGCCCCUAGUCCUGAACUGGGCAAAGGAAGCUAUCCCGAUACAUCAGAUGUCCUCGGUUCAAACCCGAGCGUGAUCA